Molecule: ribosomal RNA, 301 nt
Filed under: uncultured bacterium
Lineage: Bacteria
Description: partial 16S ribosomal RNA
Rfam family: Bacterial small subunit ribosomal RNA
Source: RNAcentral
CAGCCGCCGCGGGAAUACGAAGGGGGCUAGCGUUGUUCGGAAUUACUGGGCGUAAAGCGCACGUAGGCGGACAUUUAAGUCAGGGGUGAAAUCCCGGGGCUCAACCCCGGAACUGCCUUUGAUACUGGGUGUCUUGAGUGUGGAAGAGGUCAGUGGAAUUGCGAGUGUAGAGGUGAAAUUCGUAGAUAUUCGCAGGAACACCAGUGGCGAAGGCGGCUGACUGGUCCACAACUGACGCUGAGGUGCGAAAGCGUGGGGAGCAAACAGGAUUAGAUACCCCCGUAGUCCCUGUCUCUUAUAC